GAUGAACGCUGGCGGCGUGCCUAAUACAUGCAAGUCGAACGCUGGAGCUCUAGCUUGCUAGAUCGAAGGAGUGGCGAACGGGUGAGUAAUACAUAAGCAACCUACCCACGAAGACUGGGAUAAUCUCUGGAAACGGGGACUAAUACCGGAUAGGUAAUCGGAAGGCAUCUUCUGGUUAUUAAAGGUUAACAGCACUGGUGGGUGUGCUUAUGGCGCAUUAUUUAGUUGGUGAGGUACCGGCCCACCAAGUAGAUGAUGAGUAGGCGGGCUGAGAGGGUGAGCGGUGAGAGUGGGACUGGGACAAGGCCCAGACUGAUACGGGAGGCAGCAGUAGGGAAUGUUGAGGAAUGGGGGAUAGCCCGACGGAGGGACGCCGCGUGAGUGAAGACGGCCUUCGGGUUGUAAAGCUCUGUUGUAAGGGAAGAACGGUAGAUAGAGAAUAUCUAAGUGACGGUAACUUAUCAGAAAGCCACGGCUAACUACGUG
RNAcentral lists this ribosomal RNA (486 nucleotides) under uncultured bacterium. RNAcentral's name for it is "partial 16S ribosomal RNA". It matches the Rfam family "Bacterial small subunit ribosomal RNA", at positions 28 to 507 of the family's 1533-position model. The record is from RNAcentral.